Molecule: ribosomal RNA, 800 nt
Filed under: Tortella humilis
Lineage: Eukaryota; Viridiplantae; Streptophyta; Bryopsida; Pottiales; Pottiaceae
Description: eukaryotic LSU rRNA
Rfam family: 5.8S ribosomal RNA (bases 341-493)
Source: RNAcentral
ARGAUCAUUGCACACACAAAGUUGCAGCAAACCCCCUUUGCGAAUCUCAUGAAUGUCCCCCCCUUGUGUUUUGGGGGGCCUGGGGCAUCGUUGUCACUACUCUUGCGGUGGUGGUGGUGGUGGUCCCGGCCUGCCAAACACAUCCAAGUCCCCCCAUUACAAUGGGAGGCUUGGGCUUCCUCCCUAAACCGGGUAGGCGGCCCCUUGCCUCCCCUGGGAGGACUCGGUAACCAACCGAUUGCGCAAUGCAUCAACACUUUCAAUAUGACUGAGCAUGGAAAUCGGGACACUGCCGCUUGCAAAGGCGGUGGCGUCCCCGAGUUGUGAUAAAAACAAAAACAACUCUCAGCAACGGAUAUCUUGGCUCUUGCAACGAUGAAGAACGCAGCGAAAUGCGAUACGUAGUGUGAAUUGCAGAAUUCCGCGAAUCAUCGAGUCUUUGAACGCAAGUUGCGCCCGAGGCUUGACCAAGGGCAUCUCUGCCAGAGCGUCACCGCGACACCCACCAGUCCACUUUUAAGUGGAUUGAGUGAAACUGGCCAUCCGAAUGUGGCCAUCCCGGGGGGUAGGGAACACCUCCUUUCUUGGUGGCAGAUUGGGUUGGCUGAAAUGGAGGGAAUUUGGCCGCCGUGGUGACACAGCCCGCGAUCAGGUGAUCCAGGGGGGGCCCCCGCUUGCAAAGGUGGUGGGUGUCCUGGAACUCAAACGUGCGUUGGUUGGUGCUGCCCAGUCAGGAAUUCCAAAGCAGGUCCCUCGCGACACUCGGUCCCUUCUACYSGSGACUAGUCMCGGAGGGGACC